Molecule: ribosomal RNA, 253 nt
Filed under: uncultured bacterium
Lineage: Bacteria
Description: partial 16S ribosomal RNA
Rfam family: Bacterial small subunit ribosomal RNA
Source: RNAcentral
UACGGAGGGGGCUAGCGUUGUUCGGAAUUACUGGGCGUAAGGCGCACGUAGGCGGCUUUGCAAGUUAGAGGUGAAAGCCCGGGGCUCAACCCCGGAAUUGCCUUUAAAACUGCAUCGCUAGAAUUGUGGAGAGGUAAGUGGAAUUCCGAGUGUAGAGGUGAAAUUCGUAGAUAUUCGCAAGAACACCAGUGGCGAAGGCGGCUCACUGGCCCGAUACUGACGCUGAGGCACGAAAGCGUGGGGAGCAAACAGG